Molecule: ribosomal RNA, 467 nt
Filed under: uncultured bacterium
Lineage: Bacteria
Description: partial 16S ribosomal RNA
Rfam family: Bacterial small subunit ribosomal RNA
Source: RNAcentral
GACGAACGCUGGCGGCGUGCUUAACACAUGCAAGUCGAACGGAAAGGCCUCUUUCGGGGGGUACUCGAGUGGCGAACGGGUGAGUAACACGUGAGUAACCUGCCCUUGACUUUGGGAUAACUUCAGGAAACUGGGGCUAAUACCCGAUAGUAGCUCCUGCUGCAUGGUGGGGGUUGGAAAGUUUCGGCGGUUGGGGAUGGACUCGCGGCUUAUCAGCUUGUUGGUGGGGUAGUGGCUUACCAAGGCUUUGACGGGUAGCCGGCCUGAGAGGGUGACCGGCCACAUUGGGACUGAGAUACGGCCCAGACUCCUACGGGAGGCAGCAGUGGGGAAUAUUGCACAAUGGGUGGAAGCCUGAUGCAGCAACGCCGUGUGCGGGAUGACGGCCUUCGGGUUGGAAACCGCUUUCGCUCAUGACGAAGCUUUGUGUGACGGUAGUGGGUAAAGAAGCACCGGCUAACUACGUG